GAAAUGUUGGAGCAUCGGGUUGUGCGCGGUCGCUCUUAAGUACUCGGCGUCAUUCGUGCUUGAUUUCGAGGAUUUUAUCCGUCUCUAAGGCACCGCGGCCGUUGACGGGAGGAUCGUGCUCUCAGUGUGUUGCCACACGCGCUGUGUCCAACGGUUACCCUCGUUCGAUGCGACUGGCAUAUGGGCGUCGGCAUUUGGCAGGUGGACAAAACGGAUUCUCAACGAAGCUGGACUUAAAUUUCACGCAAGAAAGGCAAGCUGGACGGGCAUUAGAAAUCUCCUACGAAAAAAAGCUUCAUGCCAUUUUUUUCGUCGUCACUGUUCGGACAUGGGGAGACAUCUCUGUGAACUUUCUCAUUGUGGAUU
This is a long non-coding RNA of Ornithodoros turicata, 366 nucleotides long. RefSeq lists it as uncharacterized. The transcript is spliced from 3 exons. Lineage: Eukaryota; Metazoa; Arthropoda; Arachnida; Ixodida; Argasidae. The record is from RefSeq and is a predicted model, not a curated record.